Molecule: non-coding RNA, 4728 nt
Organism: Taeniopygia guttata (zebra finch)
Lineage: Eukaryota; Metazoa; Chordata; Aves; Passeriformes; Estrildidae
Source: RefSeq, a predicted model, not a curated record
UUUUUUUUUUUUUUUUUCCCAGCUCACAUGGAGUAAUUGGAAAAAUUUCAAUAUCCUUCCUAUACUGUUUUUACCCUUUCCCAAGAAAUCCCCUUUUGGCCACUCUCAGUGAGAAGAUGCUGGCUGGAUCUCAGCUAGCACAUUUAUACCUGUAUUGUGCUGAGAAGUAAAACUGCUCUGGUUCUUCAAGGAGCAGAAUGAAGCAGAUGCCGCCCAUUCCUUCCCAGGUAAUUCUCACAUUCUGGAGAUCAUCAUCAUUUCCAGGCAGCACCAAUAAAAUAGUGACAGAGAGCUCUGUGAGCUCCUGACUGCCUCAUGUGCUCCCUGUCCGUUGCUAAUUCUUUACCUGCUCUAGUUUUAAAAGCCUCGGAAGAAUGAAAUUCCACUCUGAGAUAUCCAGAUACAAUUCAAGAACAAACCCUUCAAAGUGGUAGGAGGAAGGUAAGAGAUACAGGGGGAACCUGAUCCCCAGGCUCCCCACACAGGAGGAAGGCAUUUGAUUGCAGCUUUAUUGUUCCUCAUAUCAAAACUGACAGACUGCCAGGAACAAGAGGCUGUCCCUGGGGAAAGUGGCCCAAGACUGGGCUAACAGUGGCUCCUCUGGGUCCAAGAGCAAGUGGCAGGGUGUCCUGUGUUGGUUAUAUGAUGCUUGUAUCCCCAGUUGUCUGUUCUGUUUAUGCUGGAUAAAUAGAACAGUUUUCUCCCAAAAUGUCUUUCAAAACUUCUCCCAAAAUUUCUCCCAAAAUUGCCUUAAACCAGGACACAGGGAGAGGCUGGAGCUGGUGGCAACUGCGAUGCUGCUGUGCAUUACUGAGGCUGCCACCAGCAAAGUGCCCCUUCCUAUCUGCUCCCAGCCUUGGCUACCAGCCCUUCAUUUACACAUGUAAUAAAUUCACUUGUUAAUUAGAAGAAGUAAAUAUGAUGAGCUUUUGAUAUAGUUCAAAGGAGCAAUAGCCAGCUUCUUGAUUCCCAGGUUGGCAGCCGUCCUUCCUCUGUGCCCCAGAAUCAAAGUGCAGCCCUUGCUCCAGUAACUGUCAGGCUUUUUACAUCUUUUGAUCAAAAGCCUGGCUGCAGAAAGAGGAAAAACCAACACCCAACUGUUUGGAUCUUUUCCCCUACAAUUAUUAUCACAUCCAUUACUCAGCAGAAGCCUGGGAUGCCCUUUCAUUCUUACACAAAUACUUUCUUUUGGGAUUCAUUUAAAGUUUCCUUGUGCAUGAAGUGGUCACUUGUCAGCCAUCCACCUGAAAGGGUGAGGCAGAGAAAGCACAGUCAGCUAAAAAGGAGCCCUGGCUUCAAGCAUUUAUAAUGAAUAUUGACAAAAAGAGGGGGUGGGGAGGAGUGGGAAUCAAAAGCUUGAAAAUUGCUGAUUAGGCAAAAGCCGACUACCUCCUGCCUAUGGAGAAAAUGGCAUCAUUAGAGGGAUGCAACAGGGCUGGCAUUAUGCAACGCCUGGUCAGGAGUAGAGAACAGCACAGCAGCAACUCCCACUCGGAGCAGAAAAGCAGGAGACUGCCCUUCCUUCUGACUUGUGAAAUUUCAGUCCUGGAAAAUCCCAGGCUGUGGUGCUCCCAAACUGCAUCACCUCUGUGGUCUGGGCAGCCAGAGGUGCCCCACAGACCAACACCAGGAGCCCUCAGCAGGCAGGAGUGGGGGAUUCUGCCUCCCUGCCACAGACAACAGCCAGCCCUGCCUUAGGGAAGCCAUGGAGUCUGGUGUUUCUCCUCCUUCUCAUGUUUUACCCCUAAUCUCAGGGUACAAGUGAGCCCACAGACCAGGUGACUCGAGCACAUACUGGGAUGGAGAAGCACCUCAGGCUCCUGGGGACCUGCAAAGGGCCAGGGGCUGGGGAGACACAGCGGGCUGAGAUCCUGCACAGAGCCUUCUCUUUGCAUGUGCUUAAUGGUGAGUAGGGCUGGGGGUGCCAGCGAUGCCAGCCUUUAUUGGCCAGCCUUUUUUGGCUGUUAGGUGCCUCCCAGCUGAUGAAUGGUGCUCUCAGGCUGCCUGUGUGCACAGCAUGAAGGAAAAUCAGCAGGGCUGGGGUCUCCCAGUGUUGCUGUGCCAAGAGAGAUGCAGAUCACUUGAUAGUUACUUUUUUUUUUAACAAUCUCCAAGCAUUUACUGCGAGUCAGAACUGGAAGGGGAAGCUGCAGCACUGCUUCCCAUCUCCUCUCCUUUGCGCUGAGCAGACCCAGGCCCCUGGGAUAUGGAUUUCAAGAGCAAUAAAUUCACUCUAAAAAUUUAAAGAGGAUGACGCAGAAAACUUCAAAAAAACCAAACAAACAGCUCCACACAAUAAAAGCCAUUUCUCUCCUGACGUCUCUCUCUAGUUACAGCGUGACACAUCAAGGUCAGAUACCCUGUCCCACAGGAGCUUGGCUUUGUGCAGGGCGAGAAUCAUCCCCUAAUGGUGUGUGGUGGCUGAUGUUUGGUAAGGAUAAACUACUUAUAUAAAACCCAGGAUUCUCGUUAUGGGACACCAUUUCCAGCAAGUGUUCCCUCUCACAGGGCAGGAAGCCCUGAGCUGAAGUGCCCUCAGGAGGUAGGAAGAGUCAAGGAGAGGUUUAACCUGCGAUCGCUGCUCCCGUGUCCGACCGCGGCCCUCGCGCCAAGGAGAGCUCCCAUCUGCAGCUCAAUAAAUCACCCAUUCAUGCCAGGAGGUUUCUCUAUGGCAGAAGCUGAACUCAACAGCAAGAAUAAUAAUCCAUAUGUUUGUAAUUGUGAUUAGCUCCUCUGGAAGACAAAACCCAGAAAGCUGGAGCAUCACAAAUGCAGCAGCGCUCAGGGCCCCCGAUGCUCUUGGUCAGGAAAGGGGAUGGAGCAGGGAGCCCCUCCCUGCCUGGAGCAUUUUCACCCCACCAGUCUCCUCCAUGGCUUGUUUGGUUUCCCUUGUUUUAGAAUUUUUUUUUUCUUUAAUGCAGUGAGUUUUCUUGUGCGUAGUCUCCUAAAUGAAUGCACAGGCUGUUUCUGGCAUGCUUUAAACCUUCAUGCAUUUUUAAUGAUUUACAAGGAAAAGAAUUUUUUCUCUCUUUCUCUCUUUCCUUCUAUUCCCCCCCUUUUCCUCCUCCUUGAUUCCCUUUUUCUUUCCUUCCAAAAAAAAAAAAAAAAAGUAAUGACUUAAUACAUAUCAAGUGGAAUUGCUGGUUUGUGGCGAUGGUUUUAUAAUUCCAGGUUCAAGUUUUUUCUAUUUAAUUAUGCACUAUAAUUCUCAUGAACUAUAAUGCAAUAACAAAAGCAUGCACCAGGGUUGGCACAAGUCUGUUCUUUAUUAGCAUGAAUAUGGGUACAGUUCUUUAUGUGUGAAAUAAAAUAUUUGGACCUGAUGCUGAGUCUGUUUCUUUAGAGUUACACUGAGCUCUUCUUCCUUUCAAACACUGAAGCUGAGGCUCUCUGUUCCCUGUCUUGUCUGUUUCUCCCCUGAUAAAUUCAGUUGUACUUCAUUUCAUAAAGCCUUACUUGUCUGUAACUGCCUUUGUAAUGCCUUAAUUGAAUAGAGGGUUCAUACAUUAACCUGAAGUCCUCUAUAGUAUCUUAGUUUAUGAAGGUUAAAAGUGAUUAACUGAUGAAAGGCUGCUUGCUGUAAAUAUUGACAUUCCCCCAACCUGCCAGGAUUUUGAUUAGCUCCUGAAGUUGCCUUAACAUUUUUGUUUAUCAGGUUAUCAGCAUUUCCAAAAGCUUAUAAACAUCAGGACUUUUCUCAUGCCAAUUAAUGUUUGAGACCCUGAAGACAGUGCAAAACAAUAAAUGCCACAGGAAAUCAACAUCUGGACACAGACACCCUUCUGUUCCAUCAGCCAGGAGUGCAAGUAAGCACCAGGCCAAGUUCUCCAACCAACACAUUGUCCCAUGUCUCUGGAGAGCAGGAGGUGCCUGGUGACCAUCGGAGGAUUUAAUUUGCCAAUAGAUGCUACAAAUACCAAAGCCACCUCUAUCUGCUGCUGUGACAGAAUAUGAUCACAGAAAAAACCAGCAGCCCUCUGUCACAUGCUGGGGAGCUUUGGAAGGGUCCCUCUGAAACUCGUUGGGAUUGAUUUUCCUGCCCGUGCUGCGUUAUUAUUGCCAGACCCCGGACAAGCGCUCCCAGGGAACACAUCUGCCCGGUGGAGUUCAAUCUUUGGAGACUUAAAGCGCUCACUCAAAUGCACUGAAUAAGAGGAAUGCUUCAGCUCCAAUCAGUUCCCAUCUUCUUUGGAAAUGCUGGCCUUGAGGCUCUACCUAAUAAUGGCAACCUGUGAUCCCAGUUUGUGCUGCACAGAUGACUAAAGAACAUAAAGAGCUCAAUCUUUCUGCAAUUUGGAAGCAAAUAAAUAAGCAUGAAAGUAGAUCUGUUGGUGAAAGCUCUUGAGAGGUAAAAAGGCAGAGAGAAAAUGAGGUAAGGUGCAUUUUUCAAGAGUUUACCAGCUGAAUGUGGUACCAGGAAAAUAAAAUCCAAAUCAUUAGUUUCAUCACACCACAAAACUUGUGGCUGCUGCAGCUUCCCUGCACUGCAGAAAUCUGAUGCACACACAUUGUUUCAAUUUAACAUGGUGAUAGAAUGGAAGUGAACGUGAGGAUCACCGUGUGACCCUAUUACAUGUGGAGUGUCUCUAUUAGAGCUGCAGAGACAGCAUGCCAGAGGAGCUGAAAUGUGUUGAGAGAAACAAACAGAUAUACCUGUUUAAAAGCAGCAGUCAGAAACUCUGCAGUGUGAUCCAAGCAUGUUCUGCUGGAGAGGGCAAAAUAGUCUAU